GAUGAACGCUGGCGGCGUGCCUAAUACAUGCAAGUCGAGCGAACGGACGAGAAGCUUGCUUAUCUGAUGUUAGCGGCGGACGGGUGAGUAACACGUGGAUAACCUACCUAUAAGACUGGGAUAACUUCGGGAAACCGGAGCUAAUACCGGAUAAUAUUUUGAACCGCAUGGUUCAAAAGUGAAAGACGGUCUUGCUGUCACUUAUAGAUGGAUCCGCGCUGCAUUAGCUAGUUGGUAAGGUAACGGCUUACCAAGGCAACGAUGCAUAGCCGACCUGAGAGGGUGAUCGGCCACACUGGAACUGAGACACGGUCCAGACUCCUACGGGAGGCAGCAGUAGGGAAUCUUCCGCAAUGAGCCAAAGCCUGACGGAGCAACGCCGCGUGAGUGAUGAAGGUCUUCGGAUCGUAAAACUCUGUUAUUAGGGAAGAACAUAUGUGUAAGUAACUGUGCACAUCUUGACGGUACCUAAUCAGAAAGCCACGGCUAACUACGUG
Molecule: ribosomal RNA, 497 nt
Filed under: uncultured bacterium
Lineage: Bacteria
Description: partial 16S ribosomal RNA
Rfam family: Bacterial small subunit ribosomal RNA
Source: RNAcentral